Molecule: ribosomal RNA, 497 nt
Filed under: uncultured bacterium
Lineage: Bacteria
Description: partial 16S ribosomal RNA
Rfam family: Bacterial small subunit ribosomal RNA
Source: RNAcentral
GAUGAACGCUGGCGGCGUGCCUAAUACAUGCAAGUCGAGCGAACAGACGAGGAGCUUGCUCCUCUGACGUUAGCGGCGGACGGGUGAGUAACACGUGGAUAACCUACCUAUAAGACUGGGAUAACUUCGGGAAACCGGAGCUAAUACCGGAUAAUAUAUUGAACCGCAUGGUUCAAUAGUGAAAGACGGUUUUGCUGUCACUUAUAGAUGGAUCCGCGCCGCAUUAGCUAGUUGGUAAGGUAACAGCUUACCAAGGCAACGAUGCGUAGCCGACCUGAGAGGGUGAUCGGCCACACUGGAACUGAGACACGGUCCAGACUCCUACGGGAGGCAGCAGUAGGGAAUCUUCCGCAAUGGGCGAAAGCCUGACGGAGCCACGCCGCGUGAGUGAUGAAGGUCUUCGGAUCGUAAAACUCUGUUAUUAGGGAAGAACAAAUGUGUAAGUAACUAUGCACGUCUUGACGGUACCUAAUCAGAAAGCCACGGCUAACUACGUG